GAUCGUGAGUAGACUAACAGGAUUCCCCUAGUAACUGCGAGUGAAGCGGGAAAAGCUCAAAUUUAAAAUCUGGCGGUCUUUGGCUGUCCGAGUUGUAAUCUAGAGAAGUGCUAUCCGCGCUGGACCGUGUACAAGUCUCCUGGAACGGAGCGUCAUAGAGGGUGAGAAUCCCGUCUUUGACACGGACUACCAGGGCUUUGUGAUGUGCUCUCAAAGAGUCGAGUUGUUUGGGAAUGCAGCUCUAAAUGGGUGGUAAAUUCCAUCUAAAGCUAAAUAUUGGCGAGAGACCGAUAGCGAACAAGUACCGUGAGGGAAAGAUGAAAAGAACUUUGGAAAGAGAGUUAAACAGUACGUGAAAUUGUUGAAAGGGAAACGCUUGAAGUCAGUCGCGUUGGCUGGGGAUCAACCUUGCUCUUUUGCUUGGUGUACUUUCCAGUUGACGGGUCAGCAUCAAUUUUGACCGGUGGAUAAAGGUCAGGGGAAUGUGGCAUCCUCGGAUGUGUUAUAGCCCUUGGUUGCAUACAUCGGUUGGGAUUGAGGAACUCAGCACGCCGCAAGGCCGGGUCUUUGACCACGUACGUGCUUAGGAUGCUGGCAUAAUGGCUUUAAUCGACCCGUCUUGAAACCGGGAACCAAGGA
Molecule: ribosomal RNA, 639 nt
Filed under: Collybia mongolica
Lineage: Eukaryota; Fungi; Basidiomycota; Agaricomycetes; Agaricales; Clitocybaceae
Description: eukaryotic LSU rRNA
Rfam family: Eukaryotic large subunit ribosomal RNA
Source: RNAcentral